Molecule: transfer RNA, 75 nt
Filed under: Dehalococcoidia bacterium
Lineage: Bacteria; Bacillati; Chloroflexota; Dehalococcoidia
Description: tRNA-Thr
Rfam family: tRNA
About the family: Transfer RNA (tRNA) molecules are approximately 80 nucleotides in length. Their secondary structure includes four short double-helical elements and three loops (D, anti-codon, and T loops).
Source: RNAcentral
GCCACUGUAGCUCAGGGGUAGAGCAACGGUUUCGUAAAUCGUAGGUCGAGGGUUCGAUUCCCUCCGGUGGCUCCA